GAUGAACGCUAGCGGCAGGCUUAAUACAUGCAAGUCGAGGGGCAGCGGGGUAGCAAUACCGCCGGCGACCGGCAAACGGGUGCGGAACACGUACAGAACCUCCCUCCAAGUGGUGAAUAGCCUUCCGAAAGGAAGAUUAAUACACCGUAAUAUUAAAGAGUGGCAUCACUUUCUAAUUAUAGAUUUAUCGCUUAGAGAUGGCUGUGCGGCUGAUUAGGUAGUUGGCGGGGUAANAGCCCACCAAGACCUGCGAUCAGUAACUGGUGUGAGAGCACGACCAGUCACACGGGC
Molecule: ribosomal RNA, 291 nt
Filed under: uncultured bacterium
Lineage: Bacteria
Description: partial 16S ribosomal RNA
Rfam family: Bacterial small subunit ribosomal RNA
Source: RNAcentral